Molecule: ribosomal RNA, 482 nt
Filed under: uncultured bacterium
Lineage: Bacteria
Description: partial 16S ribosomal RNA
Rfam family: Bacterial small subunit ribosomal RNA
Source: RNAcentral
AUUGAACGCUGGCGGCAUGCCUUACACAUGCAAGUCGAACGGUAACGGGCCUUCGGGUGCCGCCGAGUGGCGAACGGGUGAGUAAUACAUCGGAACGUGCCCGAUCGUGGGGGGUAACGAGGCGAAAGCUUUGCUAAUACCGCAUACGAUCUACGGAUGAAAGCAGGGGACCGCAAGGCCUUGCUCGGACGGAGCGGCCGAUGGCAGAUUAGGUAGGUGGUGGGAUAAAAGCUUACCAAGCCGACGAUCUGUAGCUGGUCUGAGAGGAUGAUCAGCCACACUGGGACUGAGACACGGCCCAGACUCCUACGGGAGGCAGCAGUGGGGAAUUUUGGACAAUGGGCGCAAGCCUGAUCCAGCCAUGCCGCGUGCAGGAUGAAGGCCUUCGGGUUGUAAACUGCUUUUGUACGGAACGAAAAGCCUUCUUUUAAUACAGGAGGGUCAUGACGGUACCGUAAGAAUAAGCACCGGCUAACUACGUG